GCCCCCUCGGCCUAUCUUUGCAUAACAGGAAGCCAAGCAUAAAAACAAGAAGCAUGCAGAAUUGUGAGUGCUUCCGACUAAACACUGCUCGGAACUGCCUCUUCCUCAGCACAUGGUGUAGUGGAGGUUUGGCAAUCGGGUGGCACACACACCCCGAGGGCCACACUGUGGCCCCUUAGCUGUAUCCAAGCUAACUGGCUUCCCAGAUAUGGAUGGAAGGAAGGACUUUGCAUCAUUGACACAGUAAGCUCAAGAACUAUUGACCUUUCCACGGUCAAAGCCAGUCAUUUGCUCCAGGCUAUGCUUCACGGUACUUGAGUGAGGCUUCGCAGGAGGCAGAGUUUCCCCUGUGACUCUGCCGCUGACAUCCUGCAGUUCUGUUUCCUCUUCAAAGCUGUCAAACUUUAUCAGCUGUCUGAAAAAAAUGCUCUAGGGGUUUCCCCUAUUAUCGGCCAAGGUCCUCAGAAAAAUGUUAGGAUUUCUUCUGAAAGCAUCUGUCUGAAGUGUGGGCUUCUUCGACAGGCAGACACAGACCUUCGCCCUGAUCCUUCUCUCUGUGGCUGGCCACCCCUUGACAGUCCUCCCAGCCUCUGCACCACAUCACCUGGUGCCCACAGAAGAUCUAGAAGAACAUCGUUCUUCUUUCUUUUUCCUUUAUCCAUUUGUUUGCUUUUAGCCGAUGGCCACUGAAAGACAAACUAAGCCUUGAAGUCGUAGGUGCAGAACCUGAAGAAGCAGGAAGCCCAGAUGGACAAACAGGAAGCAGAAGAUGGGGAACCACGCAUGGGUGACUCGGUGAUUGAUACCGUGACAGGCAGGAUUUGCCCCCACUUCCAAGUCCCACUGGUCUGGCGCAUCUUAUAGCAUAAAAGACCUUUUCAAGGUGAAAAAUCACUUAUGUUUUCAUGAGGUUUUGUUGAAAGGGAAUCAUUUCACUCAACUCAGUGUAUGCACUAAAUGGAGAUACAAUAACUGACAUGUUUUAUAAUGAACUUGCAUGGGGUACAAUCAGGAAAGAAGUAGUAAACCUCUUAAUGUGGAAUUUAAAACAUGGAAGAAAGGGUUUAUUCGUGUGCUCAAUAAUGGAUCAUACAUUUUUCUCCUUCAGCUCCUUAUCUCCGCCCUUCCCCUCUCUCCUUCACUUUUCUGGCAUUUCCUUAAUUGUAUCAACUGUGAAAUGUGAGGGCUUCAAAUCCAACCUAAGAGAAGUGGAAGGAAGCUGUACUCAGACUUAAAAAUAGCCCCAGAAAACAUCUGUUCCUUUGAAUAUAUUGAAAGAUAUUUCAAAAUACAAAUAGACAAACAUAGCUAAUUAAUUCACUUGAACGUUAAAUCCCAUUGAUAUACAGUGUGAGUUUUGUUAUACGAGGGAUGGAUGUAUAUUGGGGGAUGAAUUUCCAUAA
Molecule: long non-coding RNA, 1403 nt
Organism: Orcinus orca (killer whale)
Lineage: Eukaryota; Metazoa; Chordata; Mammalia; Artiodactyla; Delphinidae
Exons: 2
Source: RefSeq, a predicted model, not a curated record